Molecule: long non-coding RNA, 917 nt
Organism: Prinia subflava (tawny-flanked prinia)
Lineage: Eukaryota; Metazoa; Chordata; Aves; Passeriformes; Cisticolidae
Exons: 5
Source: RefSeq, a predicted model, not a curated record
GUCAUUAUGCAGCUGCUGAUACAACAUCGACCAGAAAAGAGGGGCUCUGACUACUGAAACAAGCUGCUGAAUCUGUGUGAAAUGAGUCAGUAAUGUAAGUGAAGAAUUGACAGAGCAGGGGAAAGCUGAUCAUGUAAUUAUCCCAACAAAAGAUCACGGACUAUGUAUCACAAUUCCUGGAUACUUCAGUGAUUACUUAAUAUCAUCCUCAGAGAACGACAGCAGAGAACAGUCUCUCAUGAUUGAGAGAGACUUAAAGAACAGAGCUACUGUGACUGGAUGAAAGAAUGGAACAGCACAGCACUAAACAGACAGCAGGAACAGAACAAAAUGUGCUUGACAUAAUGGACCUGGAAAUUGUACAUUAUUAUCUUGGCCUCAUCAUCUCCUGCCUUCAACUACCAGUCUAUCUACUACAUGAAUAGCAUCUUCCCAUUAAGGCAUCAUCCUCGACAACUGACCACCAGAGACAAAAGAGUACUCUCAGGCUGCUGAAAAUCCCAGCCAUUCUUCUCACCACCUUUUGAUAUCCCAAGGCUUCUAUUCCCUGACCUCUGCACUCUGACAUCCUUAUUUGAAGGAUGGUCAGAAAAAAUUGUUUCCAAAUUUAGCCAAUAAAACUAAGGAUUUAUUUUGCUUUCCAUAAUUGCUUUGUGUCCUAAUGUACCUGUGGGAACACCAAGAUUUUACAAAAGAGAGUAGAAGGAAAAGUGUCAACAAGAAAAAACCCCUUUGAUUUUCUGAUUUUGAAACUAUUCUCAAACAUGUGCCUUCUAAAAGCCAGCCACUCUGUCUAAAGUGCCUUGACACUGUCAUCACUGAUGCCUUGAUUGUGUAUGUGUACCCACAGUAUUUCCACCUAGUCAGUGUCAUACGGAUUUCUAUUUCUAACAUGCAGAUAUCCCUUGCUGACAUAA